RNAcentral lists this ribosomal RNA (465 nucleotides) under uncultured Klebsiella sp. Its description in RNAcentral is "bacterial SSU rRNA". It matches the Rfam family "Bacterial small subunit ribosomal RNA", at positions 338 to 795 of the family's 1533-position model. Lineage: Bacteria; Pseudomonadati; Pseudomonadota; Gammaproteobacteria; Enterobacterales; Enterobacteriaceae. The record is from RNAcentral.
CCUACGGGGGGCAGCAGUGGGGAAUAUUGCACAAUGGGCGCAAGCCUGAUGCAGCCAUGCCGCGUGUGUGAAGAAGGCCUUCGGGUUGUAAAGCACUUUCAGCGGGGAGGAAGGCGGUGAGGUUAAUAACCUCAUCGAUUGACGUUACCCGCAGAAGAAGCACCGGCUAACUCCGUGCCAGCAGCCGCGGUAAUACGGAGGGUGCAAGCGUUAAUCGCAAUUACUGGGCGUAAAGCGCACGCAGGCGGUCUGUCAAGUCGGAUGUGAAAUCCCCGGGCUCAACCUGGGAACUGCAUUCGAAACUGGCAGGCUAGAGUCUUGUAGAGGGGGGUAGAAUUCCAGGUGUAGCGGUGAAAUGCGUAGAGAUCUGGAGGAAUACCGGUGGCGAAGGCGGCCCCCUGGACAAAGACUGACGCUCAGGUGCGAAAGCGUGGGGAGCAAACAGGAUUAGAUACCCGUGUAGUC